CUUUUAAAUAAGUAAGAGUAUAUGGUGGAUGCCUUGGGUCUGGAAGUCGAUGAAGGACGUGAUUACCUGCGAUAAGUCUUGUGGAGCUGGAUAUACGCUAUGAUACAGGAAUUUCCGAAUGGGGGAACCCAACUGGAUUAAUCUCCAGUUACUACUUAAUGAAUACAUAGUUAAGUAAGAGAGACACGUUGUGAAUUGAAACAUCUUAGUAGCAACAGGAAAAGAAAAUAAAUAAUGAUUCUGUCAGUAGCGGCGAGCGAACGCGGAAGAGCCCAAACCUUCUUUUGAAGGGGUUGUAGGGCAGUCUAUAUGGAGUUACAAAUUUUUACUAUAGCAGAAGAAGUUGGGAAGCUUCAGCACAGAGGGUGAUACUCCCGUAAGCGAAAUAGUAAAAACUCUUGACUGUACCCUGAGUAGGGCGGGGCACGUGAAACCCUGUCUGAAUCCGCCGGGACCACCCGGUAAGGCUAAAUACUAACCAGACACCGAUAGUGAACUAG
RNAcentral lists this ribosomal RNA (500 nucleotides) under Mycoplasma iguanae. Its description in RNAcentral is "bacterial LSU rRNA". It matches the Rfam family "Bacterial large subunit ribosomal RNA", at positions 1 to 498 of the family's 2925-position model. The record is from RNAcentral. Lineage: Bacteria; Bacillati; Mycoplasmatota; Mollicutes; Mycoplasmatales; Mycoplasmataceae.